UGGGAGAUCACGGGAAGAAGGAGCUGAGCAAAUAUGGUCUAAUUCUAGAUCUGGAAGGAGGCAUUUUAGAGGUAUAGAAACAUAGAGAAGAGUGCAGUUUGCCAGUAGUUCAGCCCACAGUGUAGUCCCACUGGAACUAGUUCACACUAAUGUGUGGAGAUCGAUCUCGAUUUUAGCCAAAAAUAUGGUGAGAUACUUGUUGACCUUCAUAUAUGAUUUUUU
Molecule: long non-coding RNA, 222 nt
Filed under: Elaeis guineensis (African oil palm)
Lineage: Eukaryota; Viridiplantae; Streptophyta; Magnoliopsida; Arecales; Arecaceae
Description: long non-coding RNA (EGUI_LNC081676)
Source: RNAcentral